This 492-nucleotide ribosomal RNA is filed under the name uncultured bacterium. RNAcentral describes it as "partial 16S ribosomal RNA". It matches the Rfam family "Bacterial small subunit ribosomal RNA", at positions 28 to 507 of the family's 1533-position model. The record is from RNAcentral.
GAUGAACGCUAGCUACAGGCUUAACACAUGCAAGUCGAGGGGAAACGACAUCGAAAGCUUGCUUUUGAUGGGCGUCGACCGGCGCACGGGUGAGUAACGCGUAUCCAACCUGCCCAUCACUUGGGAAUAACCUUGCGAAAGUAAGACUAAUACCCAAUGACAUCCCACGAAGACAUCUGAAUGGGAUUAAAGAUUUAUCUGUGAUGGAUGGGGAUGCGUCUGAUUAGCUUGUUGGCGGGGUAACGGCCCACCAAGGCAACGAUCAGUAGGGGUUCUGAGAGGAAGGUCCCCCACAUUGGAACUGAGACACGGUCCAAACUCCUACGGGAGGCAGCAGUGAGGAAUAGUGGUCAAUGGGCGAGAGCCUGAACCAGCCAAGUAGCGUGCAGGAUGACGGCCCUAUGGGUUGUAAACUGCUUUUAUAAGGGAAUAAAGUGGGUCUCGUGAGACUUUUUGCAUGUACCUUAUGAAUAAGGACCGGCUAAUUCCGUG